AUUGAACGCUGGCGGUAUGCUUAACACAUGCAAGUCGAACGAGACGGGAUGGAAGGAGCCUUCGGGUGACGGAAAUCCUAGAAAGUGGCGAACGGGUGAGUAACGCGUGGGUAACCUGCCCUAUGGAAAGGAAUAGCCUCGGGAAACUGGGAGUAAUGCCUUAUAAUAUACAGAAGUCGCAUGGCUUUUGUAUUAAACGCUCCGGUGCCAUAGGAUGGACCCGCGUCCCAUUAGCUAGUUGGUGAGAUAACAGCCCACCAAGGCGACGAUGGGUAACCGGUCUGAGAGGGCGAACGGUCACACUGGAACUGAGACACGGUCCAGACUCCUACGGGAGGCAGCAGUGGGGAAUAUUGCGCAAUGGGGGCAACCCUGACGCAGCAAUACCGCGUGAGUGAAGAAGGUUUUCGGAUCGUAAAGCUCUGUUAUUGGGGAAGAAAAAAGACGGUACCCAAGAAGAAAGUCCCGGCUAACUACGUGCCAGCAGCCGCAGUAA
RNAcentral lists this ribosomal RNA (496 nucleotides) under uncultured bacterium. RNAcentral's name for it is "partial 16S ribosomal RNA". It matches the Rfam family "Bacterial small subunit ribosomal RNA", at positions 30 to 523 of the family's 1533-position model. The record is from RNAcentral.